RNAcentral lists this ribosomal RNA (749 nucleotides) under uncultured Prevotella sp. Its description in RNAcentral is "bacterial SSU rRNA". It matches the Rfam family "Bacterial small subunit ribosomal RNA", at positions 28 to 776 of the family's 1533-position model. The record is from RNAcentral. Lineage: Bacteria; Pseudomonadati; Bacteroidota; Bacteroidia; Bacteroidales; Prevotellaceae.
GAUGAACGCUGGCGGCGUGCCUAACACAUGCAAGUCGAACGGAGUCCAGCCUUUAAGACCUUCGGGUCAAAGAGGGGAAGACUGAGUGGCGGACGGGUGAGUAACACGUGGGCAACCUGGCUCAUAGAGGGGGAUAACAGAGAGAAAUUUCUGCUAAUACCGCAUAAGCACACACUGCCGCAUGGCAGAGGGUGAAAAGAGAAUCGCUAUGAGAUGGACCCGCGUCUGAUUAGCCAGUUGGCAGGGUAAGAGCCUACCAAAGCGACGAUCAGUAGCCGAUCUGAGAGGAUGAACGGCCACAUUGGGACUGAGACACGGCCCAAACUCCUACGGGAGGCAGCAGUGGGGGAUAUUGCACAAUGGGGGGAACCCUGAUGCAGCAACGCCGCGUGAAGGAUGAAGGCCUUCGGGUUGUAAACUUCUGUUCUAAGGGAAGAAACGAAUGACGGUACCUUAGGAGCAAGCCCCGGCUAACUACGUGCCAGCAGCCGCGGUAAUACGUAGGGGGCAAGCGUUAUCCGGAAUUAUUGGGCGUAAAGAGUGCGUAGGUGGUUACCUAAGCGCAAGGUUUAAUUUAGAGGCUCAACCUCUACUUGCCUUGCGAACUGGGCUACUUGAGUGCAGGAGGGGAAAGCGGAAUUCCUAGUGUAGCGGUGAAAUGCGUAGAUAUUAGGAGGAACACCAGCGGCGAAGGCGGCUUUCUGGACUGUAACUGACACUGAGGCACGAAAGCGUGGGUAGCAAACAGG